CCUGCAGUGGAAUUAUGAACACAGUGAAUGAGAUGUGGGAGAGAGAGAGAGAGAGGGAGAGAGAGGUGGAAUACAAAGGAAUAAUCAGGCCCCGACCAUGCUGCAUUUCCAUUUCCAUGGGACAUAAAGGGCUUCUAUCCACGGCUUAAUCAUUAACCCGCAUUUCUGCACAUUUUGGCGAAAAAAAGGAGACAGCAGUGCGUUUUCAUUUUCUGCGCCAGAUUUGAAGCUGUCAGCGGAUUUAUGGCUUGACACGGCCGUGCUCUGGAAGACAACCCCUACGCCAGCUUUUGCCACCGCACCUGAACUUUUCCCUGACCCAGGACAGAGGAAUGGAGUCUUGAGUGGAAAGUUAUUUGGAGUUCAAAAACAAGGAGAAGUUGGAAAUCAAAAGUCCUCAGCUGGUACCCUACUGAUUUCACUUUUUUUUUCUAACCUACUACUUUCCAGAUUUGCAUUUUGCUCGGGAGAAGAAGAAGAAGCAGAAGAAAACAAAGCACAAAGAAAGCAGUUAAAACUUUCUCCUUGAGCCAAAAGUAGCUGAUUGAUUACGUUUUAAAUCUCGGGCUGUUUUCGCAUUAAACAACUGUAUCAGAUGUAUUUACACAAAUCAAGGCUCCUUAUCACUGUCAGCGAAGAGGAGUUAGAGGCAGAGACCUCUGGAUAUUAGCCAGACGGCGGUCCAUAUCUUCCCACAAUGUUGACACUGGGAGCUCUUAACAGCCAGGCUUGGGUUACCGACACUCUCAGACCAAGAUAACUCUUUCUGCGAGGUUUACACAGCCCAACAUCAAGGCUAAAGCAAAAUUCAACGCCUGAAGCUGAGGGGAGCCACCCUGAUGAGCCCACACCGAGACUGUGGCGGAUUAGGACGACUGACAUGUUUUUGCAUAAGAUUGUUGUAAUAAAGAUAUUUUAAUUUA
Oreochromis niloticus (Nile tilapia) is the source of this 923-nucleotide long non-coding RNA. RefSeq lists it as uncharacterized. The record is from RefSeq and is a predicted model, not a curated record. NCBI's taxonomy places the organism in Eukaryota, Metazoa, Chordata, Actinopteri, Cichliformes, Cichlidae. The transcript has 2 exons.